RNAcentral lists this ribosomal RNA (497 nucleotides) under uncultured bacterium. Its description in RNAcentral is "partial 16S ribosomal RNA". It matches the Rfam family "Bacterial small subunit ribosomal RNA", at positions 28 to 507 of the family's 1533-position model. The record is from RNAcentral.
GAUGAACGCUGGCGGCGUGCCUAAUACAUGCAAGUCGAGCGAACAGACGAUGAGCUUGCUCCUCGGACGUUAGCGGCGGACGGGUGAGUAACACGUGUAUAACCUACCUAUAAGACUGGUAUAACUUCGGGAAACCGGAGCUAAUACCAGAGAAUAUAUUGAACCGCGGGGGUCGAUAGUGAAAGACGGUGGUUGGGGCACGUAUAGAGGCAUCCGCGCCGCAUUGGCUGGUUGGGAAGGUAACGGGUUACCAAGGCAACUAGGCGUAGCCGACCUGUGGGGGUGAUCGCCGACACUGGAACUGAGACGCGGACAAGGCUACUACGGGAGGCAGCAGUAGGGAAUCUGAGGCAGUGGGCGAGAGCAUGACGGAGCAACGGCGCGUGAGUGAUGGAGGUGUUCGGAUCGUAAAACUCUGUUAUUAGGGAAGAACCACUGUGGCAGUAAAUAUGCACGUAUUGACGGUACCUAAUCAGAAAGCCACGGCUAACUACGUG